UGAAGUGCUUUGCUCUAUGCAAGUUUCUCAUUGUUUUUGUUUGCACACAACUGCUGCCUGUGUUCAGAAUUCCAUAUUGGGCUUCUGCAGUUUGAAGAGGUGAAAGCAGUCAUGGAAGUGAAGUGUUUGUUCUGAAACAUGGAACUAAACUCUGAAAUAUGACAUGACUUUUUUUCUUCCUCCUUCCAUUAUGCAUGUAUCAUACAUGAUGUGUAAGCUCAGAGUUUAAUGCUAGUCAGCUCCUUGGUGACCUUCGCCAAAAUAUUUAUAGUUUCCUUUUCCACAAGAGGAAACUUUUUGGCAUUGAGUCCUGUAUCAGAAAACACGUUGUGAAAAUAUUAUGUUUAAACACAAUUUUGGCAAAGUUAAGAUAUUUAUGUCUUUAAACCAGGAAAAAAACCUUUCUGGCUUACUUUCAUUGUGCUUAAGUAAGCUGGAUGGGGAACAUAGGUGAACUGUGACAAGGACAAAGUAAAUCUCCAAAGUUAGCAUUGAACUCAUGGUGAGAAACUGCAGUGAAGUGCAACAGAGUCUUAUCUGGCAUGGAUAGGACUUGAAAGAGGUGCAUUACUAAUUCAUCAGUACCUGCAAACUGUUUCUCUCCUGUGCUUUAAUGAUUUUGAGGGAUUUUUUUUUUUUUGUCAGCAUUAAGUCAAAGUCCUGGUGAUGAUGUGAUUUAAUGCCUUGUGCUGCUCUGGCUUGUCAAAACUUCUGCUUAACAGGCUGUGUAGAAUGUAAAUUUUGUUUGGCUGUUGAAGUAUUGAUAACCAUUUCGUCACUGUCCUGGCUGUAUUUGACUUGAAAGGCUUCUCAACUUGCACAGCUCAACUGAUCCUUUAAAGUUUGCUUGGCAGCAGUUUGUAUAUUGCACAAUGAUGAAGAUUAUAAGUAAUGCUAAGUGUUCUGCUCUUUUUAAAAAAUUAUUUUGUAUUGCUGGGGUGCUGGCAUUAAGCUCAGUUUCAAAGCAUAUCUUCCUUUUUCAGCAGCAAGUUGCAUGAAUUUAUGGUUUUGCUUUAGGCUUUGGAUGAUGGCACUUCCCUGUAUUUAUGGAACAGAGUUGGUAUUUAGGUUUCAAGGACUUUGUUAUUUCACUGGAACAAACUUCAGGGCUUAGAAUACACAUUUGGUUUGUAGAUCAAAAGGUCACUUAGUGGUCUAGCCUUUAGCUGUUUCUCUAUUUUCGUGCCUCAAAAUAAGUUUUAAGAUGAGAGCGCUAAUUCAAAAUACCCUAAAAUCAAACAAUGAAUUAUUAAGAUGGAGGCUUCACAAAUCUGACAUUUAUGUACAAUGCCCGAAGCAAACACUGGAAAUGUGGAAUAUAGAACAUUAAAUUCAGGUAGAAGAAUGUAAAUGAUUGCCUUUAAAAUAACCUUGCAUCUUUGCCAGUGAACUCUUUGUGGUAAAAACAAGCGUUUGUGAGAACACAGAAUGCAAUUAAUCAGGAUUGAUGCAUGUUUUAAACUUAGAAUCCAUUCAAAUUCCAAAGUCUUUGACAGGAUUUUGCAGGUUUUGCAUUUAUACCCCAGUUACUGGAUUUUAAGGUCACAUUAGGCAGCUUUCCUUCGCUGGAUGAGUGAAACUGAGAAGCUGUCAGCUAUAAACUUCCAGGAGGAGCUGGUGGAGGGGUGCCAGGGCCAUCAGUGGGCAAGGCAGCUGGUGGUGGGAGGUGGGCAGGACGCAGCAAGGGCUAUAACAAGAGCAUGGUGUGGGGCUUCUUUUGGUCAGCUCUAGUGGCAGAAAGAGUGCUGGUGACACUGAAACCAGUAAGUGUUAGGGAGAUACUGGUUGUUAUUGACACAUGAGCAGGGAUGUUUUCAUGCACAGUGCUCGCAUAGGUGUUGCUGAAGGCACAAGCCUCAUGUGUUGGUCUUUUCAACUGCUGUGAUUUAAGAAGGGGAAUAGUGGCUUCUUGGCAUAUUCACAUGGGUUUGGGUGAUUGCUCUUUUGGGCCUGGGUUGUCUUUGCACAAUAAAGGUGCCAUGCCAUCUUUUGGUGGGUCUGCCUAAAGCACAGACAUUAUUGGUAGUCUUGAAUUUAAAGUAGUAGGAUUUAUGUUUCCAUUGCAUUUAUGUGUGAAGCAUUAAACCUUCACAAUAUAAAUUAACUCAUAAAGCGUGUGUGGGAGUUCCUGAUGCGGUAAAUUCACUGCUUCAGGUUGUCACACAUUCUCACAUGGCUUUGACAAAGAACAAUAAUGGAAGUCUGCAGUACUCACACAGAUCCUCUUUCCAGGCUGGCUAGGUGAUUGGAUUGCUUGGGAUGCUAUCACUAUAAAAUCUCUCUAUGGGAUGGAGGCUAAUUAAAUAGACCUUAACUCUUUCAAGAAUAGAAAAGUUUUCUCUGGAUAGACUGAACAGCUCAACCAGUGGCUCAUAAAUGAGUAAACAAUGAGGGGAAAGAAUAAAUGAGCACAGGGCUGGAGCUCCAGCCUGCCCAGUGUGGCAGCACUGCCCUGGGCACCUGCCAGCCCAGGCACAUGGUACUUAGUGGCUGUUAUCAAGUGUUCCAGGCUCAGCAGUGAAGCGAUAAGAGCCGUGUGGCAGCAGUGAGAGCAAAGAGUGGCCACUAGCAAGCAAUGGGCUCUAAGAGACUCAGGCAAGCAAGCCCAUGGCAAGCACAGGAGUUUCCAGGCAAUAGCUGCACAGAAGGAACAGCUAUCCAUUCCAUCUAGAACAUCCCAGUCAAAUCUGUCCUUACCUCAAACCCUUCCAAGCCCAUGCUGGGUGCCAGAAAGGUCUGUCUUGGUUUAAUCCUGCUGGCACUAAGCCCCAUGCAGCCACUCGCUCAGCUCCCCUGGCUCCCAGAAGGGGAAAAGUGAGAGAACGUGUCAGUCGAGAUAAAGACAGUUUAAUAGGUAAAGCAAAAGCCACUGAGAUUUUUUUAAACCAUCAAAAUGAGGAUUUCUUUGACAAAAUGGGCUUUUGUCUACAUGGUGUUUAAGGAUUUGCAAGUUGCGGCAUUUGCUCUACAGUGGAUGGUACACUCACCGAAUGUGUCACACUCUCUCUCCAUUCAGUCAUCAAAAAAAACUUGUUUAAGAGAUACUUUGGGUUUCUUCCUGGCCUUUUCAUAAGGACUAGAUUGUAUUCAUAGAUGUCAUUCUGCAGCCAUGGGAUAAAAUAUUUUUAUGCAACAUGGAAUUUGAUGUCAAGAGUUUCAGAUUUGAGAGUAACACAAAAUUUUAAGAUUUGGCAGCACGUUUGGAGUUUCCCAUGAGAGCAGCUGUCACUGGAGGGCUCUGCUCAUGAAUGUCCCACAGGAGCUGCUUGGUGUUGGGAGCAUUGUCAGAUGAAUAAAGAACAAAACCAUGUGGGAAUUGUGCUACCAUAACAUCUAAUGCUCAUCUGCUUUUAGAAAGUGAUAUGAAGUAUAGUCAGCUGGUUUAUCCUGAUGGCAAGCUAGGACACCCUGUGUCAGUGUGGAGCUUCUCUUGGGUGGGUGGGUGAGUAGGGGUCUGUGUGGUGCCAGCCUCUGCCUGCUGAAGUUGGGAGGGGUCCCAGGAUGUGUACAGGGAGCAGGGCUGGAAUCCAGGCUCAGCAUCUCAGUCUUAGCACAGUGCUCUGGGGAUGUGGGCAGCGAGAACGUGACAGAGUAGUGUAUAAAGCUUCUUGGAGCUUUCAGCACUGCUGGUGUCACGCCAAGUGUGGGCUGUGUGGUAAAGCAGGGUUUCCCUGGCUCGCUGCAGUCACACUGCAGGGAGGGACAGCUCCUACAGCCACCCAGCAGGCAGAGGGGAGCUCAGAGCACAAGGCACACACA
Taeniopygia guttata (zebra finch) is the source of this 3759-nucleotide non-coding RNA. Lineage: Eukaryota; Metazoa; Chordata; Aves; Passeriformes; Estrildidae. The record is from RefSeq and is a predicted model, not a curated record.